AUAGGAUAAUAUACACAAUUGAAGAAUAAAAUUUCUUCCUUCUCUCUAUCUACAUUUCUUGUUCAUGUUUUACUAAGUUGCUUAUAUUUUUUGUUCAUGUUUUACUAAAUUACUUUUAUUUUAUAAAAGAUGACGAGAAAAAAUGUUUUAUUAUAACUUAAAAACACGCUAAGUACUUUGUGGCAAAACCUUUAUAUCAUAAAUCCAGAAAUAAAUUUACUAAAUUUAAAAAUCAAAAAUAGAACAACAAUAACAACGAGAAGAAAUAUUAUUAGAAAUCCUCAAACAAGGGUGUGUUUGGAUAACAGGGAAAUUUAAAAAGGAAAUUAAGAUCUAGACUACCAAUUAAAUAUCUCUACCUCUUGGAGGUGGAGGUGGAGGUGGAGAUAGAAGAAGAGGAGCGAGGUAUCUAGUGAAAAACAGCCGCAAGCUUGGUAAUAUGCGAAGAGGAUUAUAUGUUGUCGUUCGACGGAUAAAAUCCUCUAUUGAUUCGACGAACAAAUUCAAGCUCCUUAUCGGCGGCACAUAUAGUGUCAGCGGCGCCGCCGAGAACGCCACAGCGAAGAACACCUCUAACAUUCCUUUAAACCGCCGUCAACAACCACCGUAAAGUCAACACGGCCGUUGAUUUUGGCACUCCGGCGAAGAAUUUUUUAAAGGGAAUCUUAUAUUUUCUUUCUGAGUUUGACUAGAUAGUUCUACAUAUAUAGAUUUUGCAAGGGGGAAGGGGUAAAUAUGUAUUUUUGUGAAAAGAGGGACAGAUUUUGUAGAAUAUUAUUCAUAGAAAGGUAAUAUUGGAGAAAUAGAGAGGAAAUUUCCUAAAUGACAACUCAUUGAAUUUGGACAUUUUACAAGGGGAAACAAGAUUUGCAUAUCCAGUAAAGAAAAAAUAUUUUGAGUUAAUAGAAUUAGAGGUUUAGC
RNAcentral lists this long non-coding RNA (921 nucleotides) under Nicotiana benthamiana. RNAcentral describes it as "long non-coding RNA (NBEN_LNC023169)". Lineage: Eukaryota; Viridiplantae; Streptophyta; Magnoliopsida; Solanales; Solanaceae. The record is from RNAcentral.